GAUGAACGCUGGCGGCGUGCCUAAUACAUGCAAGUCGAGCGAACAGAUGAGGAGCUUGCUCCUCUGACGUUAGCGGCGGACGGGUGAGUAACACGUGGAUAACCUACCUAUAAGACUGGGAUAACUUCGGGAAACCGGAGCUAAUACCGGAUAAUAUAUUGAACCGCAUGGUUCAAUAGUGAAAGACGGUUUUGCUGUCACUUAUAGAUGGAUCCGCGCCGCAUUAGCUAGUUGGUAAGGUAACGGCUUACCAAGGCAACGAUGCGUAGCCGACCUGAGAGGGUGAUCGGCCACACUGGAACUGAGACACGGUCCAGACUCCUACGGGAGGCAACAGUAGGGAAUCUUCCGCAAUGGGCGAAAGCCUGACGGAGCGACGCCGCGUGAGUGAUGAAGGUCUUCGGAUCGUAAAACUCUGUUAUUAGGGAAGAACAAAUGUGUAAGUAACUAUGCACGUCUUGACGGUACCUAAUCAGAAAGCCACGGCUAACUACGUG
Molecule: ribosomal RNA, 497 nt
Filed under: uncultured bacterium
Lineage: Bacteria
Description: partial 16S ribosomal RNA
Rfam family: Bacterial small subunit ribosomal RNA
Source: RNAcentral